CUACGGGAGGCAGCAGUGGGGAAUAUUGCACAAUGGGCGCAAGCCUGAUGCAGCCAUGCCGCGUGUGUGAAGAAGGCCUUCGGGUUGUAAAGCACUUUCAGCGGGGAGGAAGGCGUUAAGGUUAAUAGCCUUGGCGAUUGACGUUACCCGCAGAAGAAGCACCGGCUAACUCCGUGCCAGCAGCCGCGGUAAUACGGAGGGUGCAAGCGUUAAUCGGAAUUACUGGGCGUAAAGCGCACGCAGGCGGUCUGUCAA
RNAcentral lists this ribosomal RNA (255 nucleotides) under Klebsiella pneumoniae. RNAcentral's name for it is "partial 16S ribosomal RNA". It matches the Rfam family "Bacterial small subunit ribosomal RNA", at positions 339 to 586 of the family's 1533-position model. Lineage: Bacteria; Pseudomonadati; Pseudomonadota; Gammaproteobacteria; Enterobacterales; Enterobacteriaceae. The record is from RNAcentral.